GACGAACGCUGGCGGCAUGCCUAAUGCAUGCAAGUCGAGCGAACAGAUGAAGUGCUUGCACUUCUGACGUUAGCGUCGAACGGGUGAGUAACACGUAAGGAAUCUACCUAUAAGCGGGGGAUAACAUUCGGAAACGGGUGCUAAUACCGCAUAAUAUCUUCUUCCGCAUGGAAGAAGAUUGAAAGACGGCUCUGCUGUCAAUUAUAGAUGACCUUGCGGUGCAUUAGUUGGUUGGUGGGGUAAUGGCCUACCAAGACGAUGAUGCAUAGCCGACCUGAGGGGGUGAUCGGCCACGUAGGGACGGAGACACGGCCCAAACGCGUGCGGGAGGCAGCAGUAGGGAAUCUUCCGCAAUGGGCGAAAGCCUGACGGGGCAAUGCCGAGUGAGUGAAGAAGGCCUUCGGGUCGUAAAACUCUGUUAUAAGAGAAGAACAAAUUGUAGAGUAACUGCUACAGUCUUGACGGUAUCUUAUCAGAAAGCCACGGCUAACUACGUGCCAGCCGCCGCCGUAA
RNAcentral lists this ribosomal RNA (513 nucleotides) under uncultured bacterium. RNAcentral's name for it is "partial 16S ribosomal RNA". It matches the Rfam family "Bacterial small subunit ribosomal RNA", at positions 28 to 523 of the family's 1533-position model. The record is from RNAcentral.